Triticum aestivum (bread wheat) is the source of this 644-nucleotide long non-coding RNA. RefSeq lists it as uncharacterized. The record is from RefSeq and is a predicted model, not a curated record. The transcript is spliced from 4 exons. Lineage: Eukaryota; Viridiplantae; Streptophyta; Magnoliopsida; Poales; Poaceae.
CAAUGGUUAGAACUCAUGUUCCCCUCUAUUUUCUCUUUGAAUUUUCUUUUGUGACGGACGGGACUUGCAAAGCCAAUAACUUGUUGAUUGGCAUGCCAAUUGGAGAUGAUUUGAGGACUUCUUACGUGUUUGGUAGAAGGACAUGAGAGGUCAAGGAGUUUCCAUUGGGACAUUAGGACAUGCUCCUCCAUCUCCUCCGCUGGACGACAUCCAACAUCGCUAGGUUGUUAUAAUUCAUCAAAGGCGGCUACUGAGUAUACAUACCGUGUUUAUCUCGCCUGCCUUCUUAGGAAAAAUCCUAUACUCAAGGUAUCAUCCGAAGGGGCGACAUACCCAAUUCUCGGAUUCCUCAAGCAAUAGAUGUAGUGUUGUCAGUCUUUGAAGAUGCGAAUCUGUCUGCUCCUAGGCAACAACAGAGGGAUGAUUGGGAUGUAAAAAAGCCAUAGUGUAUUGAGGCUUAGUGGAGUCAGUCACUAGCCUCUCCAUUGUUUGAACAACAGCAUCAAGCGGCGCCAAAACAUGUCAGUUACUUCCAUCUUGGGCAUAGCCAACCUUAUUGGUGGACCGGCUCUCAUUUUUCAGAAUAUUGCUGAUCUGAGAGACAUCCGAGACAUGAACGAGGAAAAAAUGAGAAGGUCGGCCAC